RNAcentral lists this ribosomal RNA (253 nucleotides) under uncultured bacterium. RNAcentral describes it as "partial 16S ribosomal RNA". It matches the Rfam family "Bacterial small subunit ribosomal RNA", at positions 524 to 776 of the family's 1533-position model. The record is from RNAcentral.
GACAGAGGCCUCAAGCGUUAGGCGGAAUCACUGGGCUUAAAGCGUGUGUAGGCGGAUCGUUAAGUGUCUUGUGAAAUCCCACGGCUCACCCGUGGAACUGCUGGGCAUACUGGCGAUCUUGGGCCAACUAGGGGCAGCCGGAACAAGCGGUGGAGCGGUGAAAUGCGUAGAUAUCCGGAGGAACACCAAAGGCGAAGGCAGUGUCCUGGGGAGUACCUGACGCUCAGGUGCGAAAGCCAGGGGAGCGAACGGA